This is an RNA transcript of Fragaria vesca subsp. vesca, 970 nucleotides long. RefSeq lists it as uncharacterized. NCBI's taxonomy places the organism in Eukaryota, Viridiplantae, Streptophyta, Magnoliopsida, Rosales, Rosaceae. The record is from RefSeq and is a predicted model, not a curated record. The transcript has 6 exons.
UUAUUAUAAUGGCUUCAUUUGCACAUCAUUAUCUUUGUUGAAUCUGACUUUGUCAGGGAAUUAUUGUCCGAUUAUUGGAAGAACAUCAAUUAAAUAUAUAUUGUACAUUAUCACGUCCUUCAAGACCAAGGUGAAAAAAAACUGUAUUGAUUAUUAUAAUGGCUUCAAAGAAAGAAAACUUUGCUUUCAAUUUCUUGAUAUAUUUUUCAUAAUUGCUUAAUCUGAGUUUCAAUCUGUAAAUCAUACUGAUUCAUUAAUAGAUUAUAUUCUUAGUUGUUAAUCAUAAGUGAGGUUGAGGUCAAGUAUUUUUCUUUUGGCUCUAUUUUAAGGGACUUGAAAGUCUUUGACUGUUCCAUUUGAUGAUACAUUUGCAAGAACAACUUUGUUAACAAUUCGUAUGUUUCAGAUCUUGACUUCGAUAUUGUGGAGAUGAAUCCUUUUGCAUUGGUUAAUGGAAAGCCAUAUCCUUUGGAUAUGAGAGGUGGGAUAAUAUUAAAUUUCCAAUGCCGGAAGAGUUAUGAGUCCAACGCAGAAGUUUAUUCAUAGACUAGAUGAGAAAUUCUGAACCCUGAGUGAAGAAUAUGGACAAUGGUUGCUGGAGGAGGUGCAAGAGUUAUAUACACAGACAUGUUGGACAUAUUGGCUUCGCUCAUGAGCUUGGAAACCACUGAAUAUGGUGGAGAACUAAUGACGAGGAUGUCGUCUUGAAGUAGCCCAGAGUUGUUGAUAUGUUCUGUGUUCUUUUCCCCUGCAUCUAUUGUGCUGUUGCCGACUAAUCUACUCUUAGUGUGACUUAUUAAUGGAUGACUAUUUUGUCUAUACAUCUUCAUGUUGCUGAUCUUGGAGAAGGUGCAUCACUUUUAUGCAGAGCGCAUUUAGGAAACUGCAAGCAGGAGGGGUUUGCUGCAAUUUUUUUGAGUUUAGGUAUGUGACUGCUGUUUUGGUUUUUGAACGACUCUUACUUUUUAAA